This 29-nucleotide small RNA is filed under the name Bombyx mori (domestic silkworm). Its description in RNAcentral is "ovarian small RNA-3155". The record is from RNAcentral. Lineage: Eukaryota; Metazoa; Arthropoda; Insecta; Lepidoptera; Bombycidae.
UAUGUGACGGCGAAGGACUACGGUACAGA